UCUACCUCUGAUGGCUUUUUUAUAUCCCAGGAAAAGUAUAUCCAGGAUCUUCUUUCUCGUGCUGCUCUUACCGACGAGCGCAUUGUUGAGACUCCUAUGGAGCUCAAUGUUCACCUCUGUGCUACUGAUGGUGAUCCUCUCCCUGACCCGACGCGUUAUCAUCAUCUCGUUGGCAGUCUUGUCUAUCUAGCUGUCACUCGUCCGGACAUCUCUUAUCCGGUUCAUAUUCUGAGUCAGUUUGUCUCUGCUCCCACAUCGGUUCACUAUAGUCAUCUCCUUCGUGUUCUCCGAUAUCUUCGAGGCACGAUCUCUCAUCGUCAAUUCUUUCCUAGCUCCAGUUCUUUACAGCUUCGGGCCUAUUUGGAUGCUACGUGGGCUAGUGAUCCUUCUGAUCGCUGUUCACUUUCUGCUUACUGUGUUUUUCUUGGCGGUUCUCUCAUUGCCUGGAAGACGAAGAAACAGAUUGCAGUUUCCUGUUCGAGUGCUGAGGCUGAGUUGCGAGCCAUGGCUCUUUUGACGGUAGAGGUGACUUGGUUACGGUGGUUACUUCAGGAUUUUGGUGUUUCUGUCACUACACCGACUCUGAUCCUAUCUGACAGUACAGGUGCUAUUAGCAUUGCGCGCGAUCCUGUGAAGCAUGAGCUCACCAAGCAUAUUGGUGUUGAUGCUUUCUAUGUGCGCGCUGGUGUGCAGGAUCAGGUUAUUGCUCUUCAAUAUGUGCCUUCCGAGUUACAGUUGGCGGAUUUCCUGACGAAGGCCCAGACU
RNAcentral lists this ribosomal RNA (765 nucleotides) under Triticum aestivum (bread wheat). RNAcentral describes it as "partial small subunit ribosomal RNA". The record is from RNAcentral. Lineage: Eukaryota; Viridiplantae; Streptophyta; Magnoliopsida; Poales; Poaceae.